CGAGGGGCAAGGAUAGAAGCAGAGACAUCAAUGGAGAAGAGGCUAUAGAAAGAUUCUGAGCAAGAAAUGACAAUGGGUUGGUAAUGGUAGUGCAGGUGAUAAGAAGAAGUCACGUUCCAGAUGUACUUUUUCAGCCUGCAGACAGAUCAUCAGAAAAUUCAACUUUCAAGUGAGGAUCAUAAGCCAGAGAGUGCAGGACUCCACACCAGGGCAGAUGACCUGUGGAUUCCAGAAGCUCUCAGGAAUUUUGCAGAUUUCUCAAGGGCAACCCUGUCCAUAGAACGGGGAAAAGAACAAGCCCAUGCCUCCAAAGAGAAACUUCACAGUUCGCCUAAGUUUAACCUCUAGUGAUUCAUUCUCUUGUGUGUGGGGGCCUUCUGAUCUCUGGGAGCUCCCUCAAAGGCAAACUCCCAUGCAGAGGGCAUUUCUGAGGACUGAAAUCCAGGUGAUAAUAGUAACUACUGCUUUUUUAGCAUUUAGUGCUAACUUUGGCAUUUGGGCAACCAUCAAACACUCUCUUCCAUCAUCUCGCCCCUCCACCCACAGCCCUGUGUUAUCAAUCCCCUUUCCCAGCCAACCUGGGGACAAGUUGACUUGUCAUCACCAUCUGUACCUCCCCACUUUACACUCUCUCCACAGUCCACUCCACUAGGGCAUUGGCUGCACAUGUCACCAAAACCACUCUUGUCAGUGUCACCAAAAACUCCCAUGUUGCAAGAUACAAAGGCCAUUUUUCGGUCUCUUGUACUGAGCCUCUCCUAGAAGCAUAAGGUCCCUGGGCUUCCUUGGCACCUCCUCCGCCAGCAUCUUCU
RNAcentral lists this long non-coding RNA (812 nucleotides) under Homo sapiens (human). Its description in RNAcentral is "non-protein coding lnc-KATNAL2-4:3". Lineage: Eukaryota; Metazoa; Chordata; Mammalia; Primates; Hominidae. The record is from RNAcentral.